UAAAACGUAGGUGGCGAGCGUUAUCCGGAAUUACUGGGCGUAAAGCGUGUGCAGGCGGGCGGAUAAGUGGUGUAUGAAAUAUCCCGGCUCAACCGGGAGGGGUUAUGCCAGACUGUCCGUCUUGAGUGCGAGAGAGGAGCGUGGAAUUCCGGGUGUAGUGGUGAAAUGCGUAGAGAUCCGGAGGAACCCCAGAGGCGAAGGCGGCGCUCUGGCUCGCAACUGACGCUCAGACACGACAGCAUGGGGAGCGAACGGGAUUAGAAACCCCGGUAGUCCAUGCCGUAAACGAUGCCAACUAGGCGCUGCGGGACUCAACCCCCGCGGUGCCGCAGCAAACGCGAUAAGUUGGCCGCCUGGGGAGUACGGCCGCAAGGCUA
Molecule: ribosomal RNA, 377 nt
Filed under: uncultured bacterium
Lineage: Bacteria
Description: bacterial SSU rRNA
Rfam family: Bacterial small subunit ribosomal RNA
Source: RNAcentral